This 72-nucleotide transfer RNA is filed under the name Pangasianodon gigas (Mekong giant catfish). RNAcentral's name for it is "tRNA-Asp". It matches the Rfam family "tRNA". Rfam says of the family: Transfer RNA (tRNA) molecules are approximately 80 nucleotides in length. Lineage: Eukaryota; Metazoa; Chordata; Actinopteri; Siluriformes; Pangasiidae. The record is from RNAcentral.
UCCCUGGAGGACUAGUGGUUAGGCCACAGCGCUGUCACCGCUGUUGCCUGGGUUUGAUUCCCGGCCAGGGAA